GCCUGAUUAGCUCAGUCGGUAGAGCAAACGGCUGUUAACCGUUGGGUCGCAGGUUCGAGUCCUGCAUCAGGCGCCA
This 76-nucleotide transfer RNA is filed under the name Clostridium sp. RNAcentral's name for it is "tRNA-Asn". It matches the Rfam family "tRNA". From Rfam's summary of the family: Transfer RNA (tRNA) molecules are approximately 80 nucleotides in length. Their secondary structure includes four short double-helical elements and three loops (D, anti-codon, and T loops). RNAcentral also lists the same sequence under 2 other names. The record is from RNAcentral. Lineage: Bacteria; Bacillati; Bacillota; Clostridia; Eubacteriales; Clostridiaceae.